UCGGAGAUAGCUCAGUUAGUUAGAGUGCAUCCUUUCCAAGGUUGAAGUCGUAGGUGCAAAUCCUACUCUCCGCUCAA
This 77-nucleotide transfer RNA is filed under the name Caudoviricetes sp. Its description in RNAcentral is "tRNA-Gly". It matches the Rfam family "tRNA". From Rfam's summary of the family: Transfer RNA (tRNA) molecules are approximately 80 nucleotides in length. Lineage: Duplodnaviria; Heunggongvirae; Uroviricota; Caudoviricetes. The record is from RNAcentral.